Long non-coding RNA from Orcinus orca (killer whale), 28444 nucleotides. RefSeq lists it as uncharacterized. The record is from RefSeq and is a predicted model, not a curated record. Lineage: Eukaryota; Metazoa; Chordata; Mammalia; Artiodactyla; Delphinidae. The transcript has 15 exons.
GCAGGAACGCAGCUGGUGUUGGAAAGACCUCCUGUCCCUCCCGUGGGUGUGCCGGUGACACCCAGAAACCAGGCUGCGGAUGAGGGGUCUGAACAGACUGGAACCAAGAUGACAGUUUCUCCCCCGUCCCCAGAGACAGCAGAGCCCCUCAGACCACCGCCUGCUGUUUCCAGUUUCCAGCUUGGCUCUCGUGACCCGGAGCACUGGGGGGAGUGCAUCCCAUGGGGGACCGGCACACACAGGUAAUGGGCCUUCCAAACUCAUUCCAGAAGCAUGAGUUUGGGGCCAGGCUGGGUGGAAGAUCUGGGGGUCAUCGGUGCCCCUAGAAAGCCGCAGGAAUCGAGGCAGCUGGGAGAGGAUGGAGUGUGGGGAGAAACAGGCUGGAGACAGAAUCCAAGCUCUCAAGGCAUCGCUCAGAGCCCACGCUCAGAAGAGCCCCGAGCUUAGUUCGAUGCUAUGCUGUCGCCACCCUUCUCAGAAAUUCCUACCGAUUUUUCAAUUAUUAAGAAUCAGGGGCCACAUUUUCGUUUUGCACUGGGCCCCCUGAACCACGUGCCCAGUCCUGCCCCCAACGCUGUCCUUCACUCCUAGGGCAGGGCUGCAACAUGGUGGGCACCAGGUGCCCACGGAGACGGAAGCAUGUGGUCGGAUGGAAGAGGUGCCAGGAGCCAGCAGAGUGGCGGAAGCAGAGGAGAGGGUUUCAGAGGGGAGGUGCGUCCCUGGGUUCUUUGCCCUGGACCACAGUGAGGAUGGCAGAGCAUUUGCCCCCAGGCGUGCGGUCCUGCCAGUUGAGGCCAGUGCCCACCAGCGAGCGGAGUGGCUGCUAUUCCCAGACUCUUUUUCCACUCAGACCCCUCCAUCCUUCCAAACUGAAGACAAAGCAGGGUCUCUGAUGAGGGGCUGAUGUUUGUUUCCACCCAGCCCGUUGACACAACUUCGGAUUUUUCUUUGGGGAGCUUCUUUCUCCAGAAAGCGCUGCUGGUACUGACUUACACCCUGACUGGGGGAAAUGACCACCCUAAAGAUAUCAAUCCCCAUGGACUUCCUCGCCCCUGCAGGGGAGGUCUCCAGCCGGGCCAGCUCAGGCCCCAUCCUCAGUACCCCUUCUGUAGCGGGCUGGAAGCCCCAGAACUUCUCCCUGAGCCAUCGCAGCCAAGGCGACAGACCUGGUUGGAAAACAGGUGCUAACAGCCCAGAACGAGUCAUCAGCCUGGGCUGAGAUUGUAACUUCUCCCCACGGACCCCUCCCCCAUCACCAUCGGCACCACCAAAGGAGGGAAAGAAAAUACUCCAGAGGGACUGGAUUAAGGUCUUUCAGCUCAGAAAGAGGGGGAUUAGGCAGAAGCUGGUAAAGAGAUGGUCUUCUGGGAAUUCCCUGGCGGUCCAGUGGUUAGGACUCUGCACUUCCACUGCAGGCCCGGGUUUGAUCUCUGGUAGGGGAAGUAAUAUCCCACAAGCCGUGCAGCAUGGCCAAAAACAAGAUAGUCUUCCUUUCCAGGAAGAACUGAGCCACAGGAAAUGGUCUUAAACAUCCACAGGGAAGAUUUUGAUCAGGGGUGAAAAAGAGUUUCACAAUAGCACAGAUCUUGAGAGACCUACAGAGAACACCAAAUGAGAAAAUGGACCUGUGCAGGAGCAUUGGCUACGUGGGGGGAGUCUCUGUAUUCCACGAAGCCCCUCUCGCAGGCUUUGCAUAGGUGGUUGGUAAGUAAACGCCUGAAGUUAUGCAUGAAAGCUUUUUUAAGAUAUCCCAAGAGAUACCAGCUGCAUUUCCAAGAACCAGGCUCUCCAAACAAAAAUCUGGGUCCAAAGUCCUCUACGUAAUUUUGAAAGUAAAUUUUCAGUUCUUGGAUCCAGAGGCUUUGUGGCCUCAUCUAAGUCUCAGAUUCUGCACAGUCACAAUUUCAAAAAAUAAUACAGUGUUCCCAGCGGAGACGCUCCGGGACUGGAGGAGGACUCUUUGUAACCCAAAACCUGUGAGGAAACUCAGUUCUGGCGCCAAAGAGAGGUUUCCACUGAAAGGGAACAAAAACAGGCAAAGAGGUUUUGCAACAGGCAAGCGCUCUGUUUAAAAAAAAUUCAGGGACGUCAGGAAACUCCAAAGAACUGGCUAAAAACAAGAUUUCUUUAACCUAGAACAUGGGGACUUCAACAAGGCGUAGGAAAUUGGAUGCUGGAAUCCGGCCCCACCAACAUUCUCAAUUCUAACCUUCGUCGACCUGCUGGAAGGGAGGUGGUAGGUGAGGAAAAGGACAUUUCCUUCAUCUGGGAUCGCAUCUUCAUCAGGACUGGUCUCUGCUGUUGUGCAGACAAAGCUCCAUUCAUGGUGCUUGGAGAAGGAACUAUCAGAUACUGAUUCCAACCUGAGUUUCAUUCAUUCAUUUAUAAAUCUUACAAUUAUUUGUUGACUGUCUGCUCACUGCCAGGCACUAGGCUGUUUACUGGAGAUGAGAAACACCUGCCUUCAGGUAGCUACUGUUCAGUGAAAGCACCAACAGGUGGGCUGCAGAACUGAAACAUCUCCAGGACCGGAGAUCCCGAGUCACCCAAGAGAUGUGGGGUGCAUCACAACUGCCCAAGCUACAUCAUCGUGUGUAUUCCCAACACAUGAAAACCUCAGUGUUGAUUAGGCUUUGAGAGGAACCAAGUCCAUCCCUUACUGUGUUACAUCUGAUGAUUGCAAGAUUUUUCCCCAGCCCAGCCUCAAGCUCCAUAAAUGUCGAGUCUCAUUUCUCUUCGCCACCCCGUCCUCCCGUGCCCUGGAGUCAUCGGAUGUCUUCACGUGGCACUGAGACCACAGAGCGGUGGUGGGAGAAGCAUCCCGGAGGCCGUUUCUCUACCAGAAUGUGUGUGGAUAACGUGACUGUACACGGAGUGACUGCAGCCUGCCUAAAUCAGGGAGGAAAGUGAGGGCAGCCGUGACCGACCGCACCUACAAAUUGUCUGCAAACACACCACAGGAGCACCUUGCAGGGACACUCCCGGGCUGUGGAGGGAGUCGCCCUACGAGGGUCCAGAAGCAGAAGCUUGAGUCUACUUUUCCUCAAGCCACCUGCUUUGGGGAUUACGGACCCAGAAGGGAGGGGAAGAGCCCGGAGGAAGGUGUAUGGCAGACAUCCGGGGAUUUGUCUUCCCCUUUCGGGUGAAUCUUUGGAUUUAAUAUCCAUAUUUUCCUCACCGGAAAUGAAAUUACAUGGUGCGGUACAUUCUUAGCCAUGAAAAUAACUGGUCAAAUCAUAGCGCAUCUUUAAAGUUUCUGAUGCACAGUGCCAAAUUAUGCUCCUAAAAAUUCUGCCCCGACCAGAGCAGGAGGACAAUUUGACAGUACAAAUCCGGGCUCCAGAGGUUCUUCCAGGAUUGGUCCCACAGUUAUCUGCUUGGAGCUGCAGCAACUGCCGAGGCAGCCCACUCCUUUCCGGGACAAGGCUUAGUAGAAGGAACCAGAAGACCCGCCUUCCUCACCCAGGCCUGCUGCUUGCUGGCCAUGCAACCUCUGGCAAGACAGAAGGGUCGGGAGCAAGCAGACUGUCCACAUCAGUUCAGAAAUGACAGUGGAGGAUCCCAGGCUAAGCCCGAGCUGAGUCCCAAGUGACCUGCUUCCAGCCCCAGCUCAGCCGGGGACCAGCUGGUUAACCUGAGGCAGGAGCCUUAGUUGCAUCACUCCCAACAAUACAAAACAUGCACAAGUACUGCAGAGCUAUAUAAUUUAAUAAGUAUCACGUAUCAUUGUUUGGAAAAUUAAAAUUCAGCUGGACUAAAGACCUCAGAAAUCCCUGCUGGCUGCGUGGCUCUAGCGUUCUCUACGGCAGACGAAGAGGGUUAAUUGGUAGAGGACUCGGGGUGGGAGAUGGGGAGGGAAGCCAGGUGGUUUUACCUAAACACUAAAAGCAGAGAAACAAGCACACACCCUCUCCCAAUUCUGUGAUUUUUUUCACCCGUCUCAGCUGGAACAAAAAGCCUUUUGUGAGCUUAGUGGAGCCUGACUUCGCACACUUUUCUGUCUCCUUCUCCUUCUGUGUGGGAAAAAACAAGCCGUUCCAUCCGGGUUUGCUAGGUUCCUUUGAAGGCCUUGCGGCUUUGGUUCAGGCAAACAGGAACCUGGCCGGGCCGCCUCCGCCCUGCUGAGGGAGCUUUUUGGCAGGACUUUCUCCCGGCCUCCUCGUACAGAGAUUGCAGAGGGGGAGGGGAAGGGGAGCACGGGAUGGGCGUGGGGGGAGAGCAGGGCUGCAGGUGCUGUGCCAGGCGAGGGACCUGAGUGCUGAGCAAGCAGGGCGCUGGGCCCUUUCUUGUGUGAUGGGAACCCACCGACAUCCCCUCACUGAAUCCUCUCCUGCGCCCAGGGAGGCGGGAACCACGGCCUGGUUCCACAUCAGGAACCGAAGCUCGCAGGGCGGCCUGCCUUUGCCGGAGGCCACACGGACCAGGAAACUAAUACAGAGGGAAACCAGCGCAAGGAGGAUUCAAAUCAGCUGGAGAAGAUGCUGGGGACCGGUUUAGUCCACUCUGGCUGCCAUACCAGAGCACCACACGGGGGCUUAAACAACAGACAGGCACUGUCUCAGUCUGGAGUCUGGGAGUCCGAGAUCAAGGUGUCAGCAUAGCUGGUCUCCUCGGAGGCCUCUCUCCUUGCUGUGUAGGCGGCCACCCUCUUCACGUGGCCAUCCCUCUGGGCACACGCACUCCUGGCUUCUCCCUGUGUCCUAAUCUUUUCUUAUAGGGACACCAGCCAGAUUAUGGGCCUCAUUUGAACAAAUCAUCUCUGUAAAGACCCUGUUUCCAAAUAGUCACGUUCUGAGGUGCUGGGGGAGGGGUUAGGGCUUCAACAUGGGAAUUCGGGGGCACGUAACAGGGAGCCUCCAAGCCUGCCUCAUUCCCACAAGGCCCUCACUUUUCUGGCAGCUUCCAGACCUCCCUAGGGCCCAGCUUGAGCCCAGGCAGCCUCAGCCUGUAGAACCAGUUAGAGCUGCCAAGAGAACAGGUCGGGGCAGUCCAGGGGGUGUGGGUUUGCAGAAGGGACCUGGAGUUCCCUGAGGACUGGUGGUCAGGACAGGACCCAGGCACCGGGCAUGGAGGAACUCAAUCUCUCCCAGGCCAGACCCCAGAGCCACUCUCCCAGUCCUAACAAGGGCCGCUGAAGGCACCGGGGAACAAGCGGCAGUGGCGGGUGGCAGGCAGUGGGAUCGGGAGUUAGACCUGCUCUGGUGACUUGGCUCUUUGCAGGGACAUUGACACAGAAGGGCCAGAAGAGGCAGUGAAGCAUGCAACAUGCAGCCCCCAAUGCAGCCCAGGACUGAGAGAGGAGAGGUUUCCUGAUUCCUUCCUCUCCCGACACCACCCAGGCCCCUGAUCACACGUGGCCCCAGAGCCUCAGGCAGCAGGAGUGACGCAGACUGCCUUCCAGACUCCCUCCUCGCUGACCUGUAUCCUCCAGCCUCCACUGGGCUCCCCUCCCCACUUCUCCAGGCCAGGAUGGACUCGCUCACACCCACAAACUGCAAAGGUGCAGGGCGUGUUUCAGACAGAAGACAGCCCACGCCAGGUACGCGAAUGGAGAAGAUUCGAUACAUAUAGUUACAUAAGGUAUAAAAUUGCUAUGCUGGUGACUCAAAAGGUAAAGAGAACUUGACAGUAUCAUCCCCGAGGCUGAGGCAGCAAAGGGAACGGCUGGGAUUAUUAAAACGCGGAAACAUGGGCCUGGGACCCCAACCUCGGAGGGAGGGGGUCUGGCGGAUGCUGGCGUGUCUGAGGUGCCAUGAAGUUGUUUUUACAAGCGUUGGAAAAGCCACGAAGGGAUUCAGCUCCCCACCCCGAUCCUCUGCCUCUGAGACGCUGAGUGUUUCUACAGCUUCUUCAUAAAAACACAACUCACAUCCACGCGGAGAGAAUCACAUCCUUCCCGAACUCUUUCCUCCUGCAUCACCACCGGCCUGUCUCAGCCAAGGGUGAAAAGUCUUGGAAUGUAACAGGGUGACCGUUGAACCCAACCCUGACCCUUUUUCUCUCUUGCUACUUCAGCUUGUGUGAUGGUUGAUUUUAGGUGUCAACCUCAUGGGGCUGACUGAUGCCCAGGUAGCUAGUAGAAUAUGAUUUCUGCCUGUGGCUACGAGGGCGUUUCUAGAAGAGAUUCACAUUUGAAUCGGUGGGUGAGGAAAGCUGACCCCCCUCCCCGAGGUGAUGGACCACGUUCAAUUCUUUGAGGGCCCACGUGGAACCAAAGGUGGAGGAAGGGGAAUCCACUCUCUCUGUUGAGCUAGGACGUCCAUAUUCUCCUGCCCUCAGACGUCGGUGCUUGUGGUUUUCAGGCCUUUGGACUUGGAUUGAAUCACACCCCAGCUCUCCUGGGCCUCUCAGAUGGUGGGACUUCUGACUUCUCAGCCUCCAUAAUCACGUCGUGCCCUGCCCCCUUCCCUCCUGUCUCACGAUGUUGAUUUCGGGAGCUGUCACCCGCACUGGUGAGAGAAAGGGUUGGAAAGAGUUCCCUUUUGGGAAUAAUGGCCGUUAUUUGUCACCCAUCGACCUGGACGUCUCUGGAUCCAUAAAGGCAAGCCCUCUACCUGCCAGCUUGCAGCAAGAGAGAAGAAGGAGAGAAAGGGAGACAAUGAGAAGGAAAUAAAAAACAGAAGUGGGAAGGAAGAUUCUACUCUUCUCUUCCAACUCUUUUGAUAACAUUCAGAAAAACAACAUAGUCUAGGUUUUCAUGCUUCCUUCACCCUGGUAGACAUGAAUGAUAAAGACCCAAGAUGGCAGGUGAGCCACAGCAGGAUGUUAUCAACUUCCAGAUCCCAAAAGAAUCAGAAGAAAAGAGAGAAAUCUGGGAAAAAGAGAAAGACUUGAGGCAUUAGAAAAGGAGUUUGAAUGACCUGCCAUGUCAUGAGAGGCCCCAGUGCCCACGGAACCAGACUGACGUCGGGACCCUCCACCACCAAGCACAGCCUCACUCAGGUAAGCAAACUUCUUCCUAUGCCACACCUCCCCCCCCACCCCGUUUUAACUGAAGUGUAGUUGAUUUACAACGUUGUGUUAGCUUCUGGUGUACAGCAAAGUGAUUCAGUUUUAUAUAUAUAUACUCUUUUUCAUAUUCUUUUCCAUUAUUCAUUAUAUACAAGAUACUGAAUAUAGUUCCCUGUGCUGUACAGUAGAAUCUUGUUGUUUAUCUAUUUUAUAUAUAGUAGCGAAUAUCUGCUAAUCCCAAACUCCUAAUGUAUCCCUCUCCCCUUCCCCUUUGUAACCCUAAAUUUGCUUUCUAUGUCUGUGAGUGUUUCUGUUUUGUAAAUAAGUUCAUUUGUAUCAUAUUUUAGAUUCCACAUAUAAGCGAUAUCAUGUAAUAUUUGUCUUUCUCUUUCUGACUUACUUAGUAUGAUAAUCUCUAGGUCCACCCAUGUUCCUGCAAAUGGCAUUAUUUCAUUCUGUUUUAUGGCUGAGUAAUAUUCCAUUGUAUAUAUGUACCACAUCUUCUUUAUCCAUUCCUCUGCUGUUGGACGUUUAGUUUGCUUCCAUGUCUUGGCUAUUGUAAAUAGUGCUGCAAUGAACAUUGGGGUGCAUGUAUCUUUUUGAAUUAUGGUUUUCUCCAGGUAUAUACCCAGGAGUGGGAUUUCUGGAUCAUAUGGUAGUUCUAUUUUUAGGUUUUUGAGGAACCUCCAUACUGUUCUCCAGAGUGACUGCACCAGUUUACAUUCCCACCAACAGUGUAGGAGGGUUCCCUUUUCUCCACACCCUCUCCAGCAUUUAUUGUUUGUAGACUUUUUAAUGAUGGCCAUUCUGACCAGUGUGAGGUGAUACCUCAUUCUAGUUUUGACUUCUAUGCCCCCCUUUUUUUAACCUUGAAAAAAUUGUGGCAUAUAACACACAUAGAGAAAAGUGUGUAAAACAGAAAUGUUUGUGAAUUAUUAUGAAGCAACUGUGUAAGCACGUGUCUCUUCAGCUGCUGGAACAGAACAGCAGGCUGGGGCUUAAACAACAGAAACUUAUUCCUCACAGUGCCAGAGACUGGGAGUCCAAGAGCAGGGGUCCAGUGUGGUCGGGGUUCUGGGGAGAGCCCGCUACAGACUGCCUUCCGUUGUGUCCCCACAUGUCUGGGAGCAGAGAGGACGCCGGCUCUCUCGUGACUCUUACGGGGGCACAAACCCAUCCCUGAGGCUCCACCCUCAUGGCCUCAUCUCAUCCCAAGGCCCCACCUCCUAACACCAUCACAUGGGGCGGAGGGGUAGGGUUUCAACAUGUGAGUUUUGGGAGGACACAAGCAUCUAGUCUAUAACACAAGCAGGCAGAAAGCAGAACAUGGCCAGGCCCCCAGAAUCCUCCUGCAGGUCCAUCCCAAUCUCCACCUUCCCCUCUCCCAACCCUCCCUGCUACCUGACUUCCAACUCUGCCCUGUAGCUUGGCCUGGCUUUAACUGAAACCAUUUCUUCAUUUUCCCUUCUCUUCCCCACCUUCACCUAGAGUUGCGUCAUGGGUUGAAAUAUGUCUCCCCAAAAUCCAUAUGUUGAAGUCCUCACCCCCAGUCCCUCAGAAUGUAACCUUAUUUGGAAAUAGGGUCAUUGCAGAUGUAAUGGGGUCAUCCUAGAGCUGGGUGGGCCCUAAUCCAACAUGACGGUGUCCUUACAAAUAGGGGAAAACACCAUUGAACAUGAAGGCAGAAAUCGGGGUGAUGCUUCUACAAGCCAGGGGACACCAAAGUUUUCCAACAAACCGCCAGAAGCAGGGAGAGAGGCCUGCACGGAUCCUCCCUCAGAGCCUCAGAAGGAACCAGCCCUGCUGACACCUUGAUCUUAGACUUCUGGCCCCCGGGACUGGGAGAUGACCCAUUUCUGUAGUUUCUGCUGCCCAGUGUGUGGUGCUUCGUAACAACGGCCCUAGAAAACGAAUACAGUCCUUCCACAGCCUAGGAGAGGGUAUGAAAAGGAGGUGCAGAGCUUUGAAUUGGCUCAUAAGUCAUGGUUUCAAACUAGACAGACUAACUUUUAAUAUCAAGAGUGUGCAGAGAGCAGUGGAAUCUGGUCCAGCUCCUGUUCAGGGAGAGGAUUGGGGGUUGCAGGGGGGUGAGGCUGCCAUCGGGUUGGUCGAGGAGAAACACUUCCUGCGUCAACACACAGGUCGCAGCUCUUCGUGUGGUGGCUGGAGGCUGAAGGGUCUCCUCAGGGUGUCUCUGUGUGGUGAGGUGUCUGGGGGGCGCUCACCCUGGGGCCGGUGGGAGAGACGUGACCCACAUCUGGCUCGGUCACCCUGGGGCUGAUGCCAUCCGUCGGUAUGGCCCGUGCUCUCACCUCCAAGGGAGACUGAGUCUUCUGCCCAGCGUGACCUCGUUUCCUGUUCUGUUUCCCCCUCGUGCAAUGGAAAACUCCCUCCUGCACUGGGGGCGUGAGGAGUGACAAAGGGAAAUUAGUCCAAGGCUUUCGUGAUAUAGAAGUUGCUUUAGAAAUGGUAAACAGCGAGACCACAUCGUUCCCCUCAGGAGACAUUUGUCUCUUCUCUAAAUCACUGGGUCAAGACUUUGGUUAAACUUUAAAAUUAAAAAGCAGCAGCAGCGGGCUUCCCAGGAGAGCGUGCAUGUGUGUGAUGCAUGGUUUCGGCCCUGAAAAGCAUUGCUCUUCAGUGGUUUUCUGGGUGGCGAGGACAGGGCAUCCUUCCCUGGGUGUCGGGGCUCCUGGGCACUGGGGCAGCUGGUCAGCACGCCCAGCGUGACAUGGUGGCCGUUGGGAGGCAGCACUUUGCACGGAGGUCUCGUUGGACCCACCCUGCCUUCCCCACGUGGUCCUGUUGGGAAGCUGCCAGCUGGCUCCAAUGUCCAGAUGACACAACUUUGUCUGGGUCCCCUCGAGGGACAUGGAACAAAAACACGGAUCAGAGGGAGCCGGACACAGAGAGUGCAGGUUGCUGGACCCUCCACGUGGGGCCCCAGAAGAGGCAGAACCGCCAAGCUGCUGGCGUCCAUGUGCCCCUGCCCUGGGCUUGGGGAUCAGUGGAAGGGACAGCGACAGGGCCCCUGGGGGCUGACUCUGCUUUGUGUCUCCAGCUGGGGCUGACUUCACAGGUGGGCUCAGUUUAUAAAAUGUCAGCUAGCUGAACGCAUACAGCUUGUGCAUUUUUCUGUCAGUACAUUCAGUGAAAAGUGAGACAGAGAGAGACAAAGAGAGACCGAGAGACAUAGAGACAGAGACAGAGAGACAGUGACAGACAGAGAGACAGAGACAGAGAGAGACAGAGAGGAGAGAGGGCAACAGCACAACCAAAGUACCCUUCAAAUGUUGGGGUUUCUGCAGAUUUCAAGCUGUCUUGUCUUCUUCUACAUGGGAUGAGUUCCUUCUCGCCCUCUCCCAAAAGUGGUACUGUCUAAUGUCCCAAAUCAGAAAGAGUCUGUUCUCCAGCCUCAGAAGGGAGAAGUUGGCCCACUUUCCUGCUCCCUACAGGAAAUGGCCCCGUGAGGAACAUGAUGCUUGGGCUCCAGGACAUCAUGCAGAUGUGAUGUAAUUACUGAUGCAGGACCUGGGGGCAGGCAGCUGCCCCAGGGGCUGCAUGGACACAGGGACGCCCUCCCCACCUGUCUCAGAAUUAGGCUCCCUCCCACUGUCUCUGUCUUCAGUGGUCUCCACCUGCUUCACCCAGGAUUCCUCUGGGGAAGACCUGAAGGUGAGGUGGAAACUGAGGCCUUGGGGGUGGGGGGCAGGGCUGCUGUGGGAUCCACGCUCUGUUCCUGAGGCAGCGUCAUUCCCAGAGCCCAGGUGAAAACAGCACAUUAAUUCGCAGAACAGGCAUCGGCCAAACCGAGUUCCACUCCUCCUAAGACCUAAUAAGUAAUCUCUCUCUCCACCUAAAAAUAUAAUCUGGCUUUAAAUCCAGCCCACAGGGUUAUAUAAGGCGCGGGGAGCAGGGAAACAGCGAGGCUGAGCUCUCACUCUCAAAGACGAAAACAAAACUCGUGCCCACGAGCAGGCGCGGACCUUAUGGGCAGAGGUCUUCUCGUGUGCCCUGAUUUCCCCAGCGUCAGCCCUGAUGGCUUCAUCAGAACAUGCCUCACUGACUCAAGUUAAAACCUUCACUUAGCUGCUUCUCUCACACUCUGUCACCUUAAAGCAUCUUAAGGCCAGAUUCCCCUAGGGCCACAGUGGAAAGGGACCAUGAUGUCCCCUCCUGUGACAAUUACCUCCUGUCCACAGCACUCGAGCUCUGAGCUCUUUACCAGAGAGUCCAAUGAGUCAGGUCUCAGAAUCCUGAAAUCUGGACAGACCCUCCCCCUGCCCCCCUGCCCCUCGGCCAUGGACACGUGAGAAUGCAUCUCAACGUGAUUGGAAGGCCAGGAACUGGAAGUGAUAAGACUGCCCAGGCGGCUUUUACUUUUGCUUUUACCUCUUAAAAGAGCUAAGAGCGCACAUUGUUCAAGCCAUAAAUUCUUUAAAAGGUUAAGUGGAUCCAGUUACAUGAUGUAUUUGUAGUAACAAGCCCAGAAGUGGAGAUCAGGAGGCAACAGGCCCAAGAGUUCUAAUUCCAUCACUUUCCAGGGUUUAAUUCGGGGGUAGAUCUUGCCCCCUCCCUGGGCCUCCAUCCCCUAUGUAAGCUCAAAGGAGGGCAUCAGAUGGUCACUAGGUCCCUUCUGGGUCUCCAGGGUCUGAUUCAAUUCCUCCUGGGUUUCCCACAUCAGCGUUGGGCCUCCCGCAGCCAUGGCGUCUCCUGGUGUUCAACAGUCAGGCCCACGGGGUCUAGCAGGUCCAACCGGUGGGUCUCACUGUUCUAAAACCCGGGGUCCACCAAACCGAAAACCCCCAAAUGGUUGUUGUGUGACCCCAACUCAGCAGCUGCGCAUGCACUGCCAUCUACCUAAACGGACAGGCACAGAGUAUGGGCAGGUGCCGGGGUAGCCUGGACAUAGAACACAGGUGCCCCGGAGCCAAGGCGGCUCCCUCACCAAGAGCAUCACACACUCUCCAGCCUAGAAAUGCUGUUGCCUGGACACGAGCGAAGUGAGGUGCGCUGGCCGUUUCCUGCCUAAAGGGAGCACAGUGGAGAGGUCACAGGUCACCACAAACAGGCAGGCAGGGCCCUUCCUGGACUUAAACACCAAUACCCAAUUCCGGUUUGGCCAUUGAGGUUCAGGCUGGUACCUAGAAGCCCGGCUCACAGUUUCCGCUGACUCAUUUCCGCAUCUUCCCUGGGGAGACUGAGGCCUGUAGGUGGUUUUCACCUCUUCCGUGACCACACCAAGUGGGGCUACAGUGUCACACAAAAUGCUGGUUUCAAAAUGAGAAAGCAAGAGGGAGAAGUGUGCCCGGGUGAGUGAUUCCAUCCCGAAGGGCAGACUCACUGAUGGCUCCAGCCCAGCAGGCCCAGGACCGGCGUGCAGAGGUGCCCCUCACCCUGGACCCCGCUCCUUCCCUUCCGUAGACUAGAUGUGUUCUCAGCAACCGUGCGUGGAUGCAAGCCUGAGUCCAAGAGGAGAGCCUUCUAGAAGCACUGUUUCUCCUUUUCCAAAGAAGAAACGGUUCUUUCAGAGAAGCCCCCUCCCCGUCCCCAAUUAGUUCUCAGACACAUCCCUCCUGCCAGCAGAGCAGUCUCAUGCCCAGAAGGAGACAGGGCUUUAACGCCCCACACGCACACAAGAUCCCAUCAGCUGCCCUCACCCAAGCCGCCCCUGGACGUUAUUCUUUUUUUUUUUUUUAUAAAUUUAUUUAUUUACUUAUUUAUUUUUGGCUGUGUUGAGUCUUCAUCGCUGCAUCUGGGCUCGUUGCGGUGCGCGGGCUUCUUAUUGCAGUGGCUUCUCUGGGUGUGGAGCAUGGGCUCUAGGCGCGUGGGCUUCAGUAGUUGUGGCAUGCGGGCUCAGUAGCUGUGACUUGCAAACUCUAGCGCAAAGGCUCGGUAGUUGUGGCACACGGGCUUAGGUGCUCCACGGCAAUGUGGGAUCUUCCCGGACCAGGUUUCGAACCCAUGUCCCCUGCAUUGGCAGGCGGAUUCUUAACCACUGCACCACCAGGGAAGUCCUGGACAUUAUUCUUUCCUUUCUUUUUUUUUUUUAACAUCUUUAUUGGAGUAUAAUUGCUUUACAGUGGUGUGUUAGUUUCUGCUUUAUAACAAAGUGAAUCAGUUAUACAUAUACAUAUGUUCCCAUAUCUCUUCCCGCUUGCUUGCGUCUCCCUCCCUCCCACCCUCCCUAUCCCACCCCUCUAGGUGGUCACAAACCACCGAGCUGAUCUCCCUGUGCUAUGCAGCUGCUUCCCACUAGCUAUCUAUUUUACGUUUGGUAGUGUAUAUAUGUCCAUGCCACUCUCUCACUUUGUCACAGCUUACCCUUCCCCCUCCCCAUUUCCUCAAGUCCAUUCUCUAGUAGGUCUGUGUCUUUAUUCCCGUCUUACCCCUAGGUUCUUCAUGACCUUUUUUUUUUCUCUUAGAUUCCAUAUAUAUGUGUUAGCAUAAGGUAUUUGUUUUUCUCUUUCUGACUUACUUCACUCUGUAUGACAGACUCUAGGUCCAUCCACCUCACUAUAAAUAACUCAGUUUCGUUCCUUUCUAUGGCUGAGUAAUAUUCCAUUGUAUAUAUGUGCCACAUCUUCUUUAUCCAUUCAUCUGUUGAUGGACACUUAGGUUGCUUCCAUGUCCUGGCUAUUGUAAAUAGAGCUGCAAUGAAUAUUCUCCAAAGAAGAUAUACAGAUUGCCAACAAACACAUGAAAGAAUGCUCAACAUCAUUAAUCAUUAGAGAAAUGCAAAUCAAAACUCCAGUGAGAUAUCAUCUCACACCGGUCAGAAUGGCCAUCAUCAAAAAAUCUGGAAACAAUAAAUUCUGGAGAGGGUGUGGAGAAAAGGGAACCCUCUCGCACUGUCAGUGGGAAUGUAAAUUGAUACAGCCACAAUGGGGAACAGUAUGGAAGUUCCUUAUAAAACUACAAAGAGAACUACCAUAUGGCCCAGCAAUCCCACUACUGGGCAUAUACCCUGAGAAAACCAUAAUUCACAGAGUCAUGGACCACAGUGUUCACUGGACGUUAUUCUUGAUGCGUUUUCUCAGCCUUAUGCUGCUGUGGACACCAGGGGCCGCCCUCCCCCCCGACCCCACAUCCAUUGUUUGCAGAGAACUGACACAGCCCAAGCUCCAGGUGAUUUUUCUCAUCACAGGUGUGGUUCAGGGAAGGAUGCAAAAACUCAGUCCGCGCAUUCAGGGUGAAAUGCAGGGUUUGUUCUCUCUUUGGGGGAAGAGGCGCUCCCUCCCUCCUCCUGGAGGCGAAUAGGAGAGCACAUGCCACAGGAGGUGUGGCAGCCAGGCCAUCACCGUGAGGGAAGCCAGCCUGAGGACAAACCUGCCCCAUGGAGGAGGCGGGACUCAGAGAAGCACAGACAAAUGGACUUCUAGUCCUGAUGAGACAGAAUUCCCAGAGCGAAUCCCCCAGGAUCUGGCCCUACCUCUGGACGUUUUCGUUAUGUAAGCUGACAGGUGCCCUGCUGUUAACAUCAGGUGGAUAUGUAUUUUCUUUAUUUUUAUUAUUUUCUUUAUUUAUUUUGGCCCCGCCGCAUGGCUUGUGGGAUCUUAGUUCCCCAGCCAGGGAUUGAACCCGGGCCACCACUGUGAAAGCGCUGAGUCCUAACCACUGGACGGCCAGGGAAUUCCCAUGAUGUGGAUUUUCUUGACCCAUGAAGCACUCUGGUAAAACCAUCUUUAGAAACCUUUGCUAUUUGCAUGCAUCUGUUAUCACACAGGAAGUAAACACGUCAUGCUUGCUGUAGAGGUCACUCCAAGGCAAAUCCUAAUCCCUCCCUUCCAGCCAGUUGCCCCACCAAGUCCCGCUGUCCAGGCAUUCAGGAGCCACGGAGCAGGAACCUCUCAGACGUCCCACUGUGACAUCCCGACUUGUCCCUACAACAUGCUGAGGUUAUAGAUCCUUGAGCAGAACGGGCAACGUGAUGAGCGAGAGAUUCUGGGAGGAUUGUCUGGUGACGUGAAGAAGCAGAAGAGCCAGUGGGAGGCAGCAGCAGUGAUGGGGGCGGGGAAGGGAGAAGUUUGAGAGACACGUCCAAGGAGGAAGGGCCGAUGCACUCAGAGGGACCAGGGGCCAGCAGGGACCUGCAGGUGUGCAGUGCCCGGCAGAGAAGGACAUGGUGGGGGUGGGGUCUGGGAAGAUGAGCUUAGCGAUUUGGCGACAUGAACUGCGAUGUCUGCAGGAGUGGUAUCAGGAAGCACCUAUUCUGGUCUUAGAUCAUUUACAAUUUUGUUUCUGUUUUGCUUGGCGGGGUAUGUGGGAGUUCGAGUGGUGACUGAGAGGUUUAUGGGAAAGAGAGCAUGAGAAAUCACUGCUCUGCUAAGAGAACUAAAGACAGGGAUGAAGGGAAACAGUGCUUGUAUUUCACUGUUAAAGCCUCAUUGGCUGUGGGGCGAACAUCACCAAGGCUGACAUGCAGGAAAUUCUGCUUGGUUCCUUAAAAGGUAAGUUCGGCUGAGAAGGUCCUUCCUUCUAGGAGAUAUUUUAGAAUAAGUGGAGUAGAUUCCCUCACACACACACAAUGAGAUAAACUCCUGUAAAGCGGCCGACGUUUGCUGGGUAUCUAGAGUCAGAAAGUAUCCCAUGAAAACAACAACAUUUUACAAUGAGGAAACAGCCCAGACAGAUGAGCGGUGGUGCUGGACUGCAAUCAGGCCUCCCGGUCCCUGCACUAGAGUCUGGGGUCCAUCCAAGUCCUGCAUCAUUACUGCGUUCCCCCUUUCACUCUGAAAAGGGCCUGAUUUGGACCAUCCAUUAUCUGGUCCACUACCUAUGGGGUGGAAGAGUCUGGAUGCAGAGUCACCAAGUCCUUUUCUUGGUCGCCGUGAGAGCCUGGCGGGAGACUAGGAUUGAGCGGAGGUGACUCUGCGUUUGAGAACCUGAGUUUUCUGCCUGCUGCCUGGUGGGCUCUGCAUGGGGGCUGGAAAAAGGGUCCCUCCUCUUCGGGGUGUGCAGUACGAACUUCUCUCUUUGAAUCUGUAGUUGGUGAGUCGCCUGAAUGCCUGCCCAUCCAGCUCUCUCCUCCGGCCAACCUCCUGGUUCACUUCUGAGCGAUCUGGCCACCGAGGCGCCGUCGCUGCGGGGACCACGGGCCGCCGAGGGUGUCUGCGUCCCUCCGCACGGUCCCCACGCCGCUCGUUUACGUUCUGAGCUCUCACAGCACAAGUUCAGCGGCCGCAAUCUCCCGAGUCCUCAAGAGUUUCGGGGAACUGGCCUGGGCCAGGGGUGUCUGCUCGUGGUCACUGCUGUCUGCACUUCGGGACGCAUGGCCGAGGAGACGGGAAGAGGCGCUAGAAGGUUAGUGUGGUUGACAGUCACAGGGAUGCGGCCACAGACAGGGGACAGAGUCCCGUCGAGGUCUCGCUGUUCUUCCGGGCAGCUGUGCGGUCUGCUCACCUGUCCUCACUUCCCCGCGGACUGGUGAGAGAAGGGCAUGUAGCUAGGCAGGUGCAUCCUUUCCAAAGAGCAGAAAACCAGCGAUUCCUCCCCAAAUGGUCCAUCAGGCCCAGAGCUGAAGGUCAAGCUCGACGUUCUGUGCCAGGACCUCCUCCACUGCCUGUCUCUGAAGAGGCAGCAAGACCUUGCCACGGUCUGUCCCUCUGCUCACCAUCUGAAUGACACUAAUCUCGGUGUCCAUGCCAUGUGCCAUCCCAGGCAGCCUCCCGACAGCAGGAUGGGGCCCGGGUCUGCAUGCGGAACCUGAGUUCUCCACACGUACCCCUGUGCCUGUGACCCCAGCCAGUGCAGACUGAGGGGUCUAACAGAAAAUGGACAAUCAACAGUCUGAUGGUGCUUCCCACUAACAUGCGUGGGAGUUAUCAGAAGCCACCAUGAAAGCUGGGUGUCAGGCCCCGUUCCAGCCACUGAUCAAUUCUGAUUUUACUCCCAAUGUACAGCUGAGGAAAUGGAGGCCCAGAGAUGUUAGCUCUUUUGGCCCAGGUCACACAGUUAGGCAGAGGCAGAGGUAAGAUUUGAACCAGGUACUUGGAAGAGCAGUGGUGCUCCAGCGUUCACUGUACAGACACUACACCCUCUUAGACCUAAAGAGGCGUCUCCCUGUGACCUCCAAGAAGCCAUCCGCCUCCAAUGGCUCUAAUGUAGGUAGCAGGGCUGGGGGAAUUUUAAUGUCACCCCUUUGUCUUAGUGAGCUCGGCUGCUGUAACACAACACCACAAACUGGGCGGCUUAUAAAUAGCAAACGUUUAUUUCUCACAGUUUUGGAGGCUGGAAGGCCAAGAUCAAGGUGUGGCCAGGGUUUGUGUCUGCUGAGGACCCGUUUCCUGUUUCACAGACAGCUGUGUCCUCAGUUGGAGGAAGGGGCGAAGGAGCUCUCUGGGCUCCCUAAUCCCAUCAUGACACUAAUCCCAUCAUGGGGGCCUCCACCCUCAUGACCUCAUCACCUCCCAAAUCCCCACCUCCUGACACCAUCCCCUUGGGUUAGUGCUUCAGUGUAUGAAUUUGGUGGAGGACAAACAUUUACUCUGCAGCACCCUUGCUCUCCUUCCUGGGGCCUUUUGGUUUGGGUACAUAGAAACAUUAUUUGUGGGAAAACUCAAAAUGGACAAGCUUUGGGGAAAUGCUGGGGUACUGAUGUGGGCAUGGAAGGAAGCUCACAUCCUGAGGGCAGGCACCGCGCCUGCCUGCUCCCUGCCGUACCAGCGUACUCUGGUACUCUGUACUCUGGCCCAGGGCCUGGUGCAGAGUGAUGAGAGCUCACUGAUCGUUUCCUGCGUGAGUGACUGGUGAUUUUUAACAGGUAUAACCUAUGUGACUGCCGAGCAGAUCCACUGGAGUCUCUACGUCCUCAGGCUUUGUUUGCAGUCUUGCCAGCAUCCCACUAAUUGAAAUGUUUGUGGACUUACAUAUUCUUCGGGUCUGCUCAUGACACAGGAGCCCCCAGGUGACCAGGGUCUUUAUCCUGGUCACCUUAACAUCAACAAAGAGAAGAAGCAUCAUGGAAAAUCUCCUCUCCACCUGGUCCUACCCUUCCAGAGUCCCCAGGCUCUGCUGGACCAACGAGCUGGAGGAACUGUGGGUGGGCAAGGCUUGUCGUAUCCGCUUGGUGCAGCCAGUCCAUGCCCGUGGGUGCACACACUGCAUGUGCGUAUCUAUGCGUGCGUGUCCAAUACCAUUUCCUGGAAGGCCACAGCUAUGCCAUGAAGAACGAGUGACUCACUGCCCCACGGAAGUCCUCGCCAUCUCACAGGCCUGUCUGGAGCUGCCCAGGUCUCAUGGUGAAGGAUGCUCAGCUCACUGCGAGCCGGCGCCCCGGACCCCGUCCUCAACCAUCUGUUUGGCUUUUGGCCACUGAGAAGAGAAACCUGCUAACUCUCCAGGUAAUACCCUCUCUCUUUAGCUUCUUAAAUAUUCCAGAAGGGGAAUCAGUCAGGUCUCAGACAACAGCAGAAGUCUGAGAGAAAACGGGUCCCGUAUCUUCCCAUCCAGAUCACCAAUCCACCAUCUCCUCUGCAUUUCCCCCACCUCUGGCUCUGCAGAUAACCUCUCUGUCCUUCUCCUCCUGGCAUUUCCUGACUGUUACUCAUCGUUCACUCAACACUUUAGGAACCUACUACUGUGUUAGAUUUUAUGCUUGGCCCUGAGGAUACAAGGAAGGAUCAGGCAGCAUCCCUGCCCUCAAAGUAAAAACUGAGAUCAGCCAGGACAAAAAGCUUGCUCUGAGUCGAGUGUUGGCAGGUGUUGUGAAGAGGAAAAGGAGAAGCUGAGUCCUGGACCACUUCUCCUUGCAGGUGAGCAGUUCAGAGAGGAAAGUCUUCACUGCUUUGGGUCAUCCUUGGAAACCGGAAGGCAGGACUGGUAUGGGUAUCCACAUUCCCAAACAGUUCUGCUAGGUUAACAGUAUGUGGUGGCUCUUUUUCCUAACCACGCACCCCUGGUCCCCCGGAAGUACUCUCUUCAGCAUAGAAUCGAAGACAUGGCCUGUGUGUGUUUGGUCCCGCACAACCAGACCCCCUAGAGAUGGUGAAACCGGACCAGGAUGGGACUGGAAAGAUCUGACGCCUUUGCGCAGAAGCAGAAAGAACAAGGGAAGGUCUGGAGGCAUCCUGAAUCCAGUCUACCUUCGUCCUGACUCCUUUUUAAAUUUCAUGAGCCAAACCAUUUCACGGGAUGACCUGUACAGUUAGGAAGCAGGGAGAAGGCCUGUGUUCCCAAUCCCCUUGAACCCACUGGCCAGGAUAGAAUUUCCUCCCAAGCAGGUCAGGUCUGGGCCGUCAGAAGGAUCUGUCUGCUUGUGUGUUUUGUUUGUUUGAUGGGAGGGGGAGGUGGGGCAGCCUGGAAACAAUCAAGGUGACCGUUGACCUUUCACCAGUUAAGGUCCUACGGUCCCAACACCCAACGUGUGAACAGGCGCUGGAGGGCCCAGUAAGCCAGACACAUGCAGACCACCUCCCCACGGCCCCACUGAUCAGGGAACAAAUGCAGACAAACAGGCAAUCCGUGACAUCCUUGAAAAACAUGUCUCCAGUCCCAGCAGAGAGAUGGGGGGAGGCUGGGAGAGGCUUUAAUCAUUCACAGGCCCCCAACCAGGAAGGUGCCCCUUCAGUGUCCGUCCCCCCUACCCCCGAGACUGAACCUGAGAUCCGUCCGGUUCUGUACUCCACCUCCCUCACCCCUGCAAGCAGGAUGAACAAAAGAGGCAGGAACACAAGGUUGAAAGCUCUGGUCCAGGUGGUUAGGACCACAGGGUUUGCUCCAUGCUAGAGCUCCAGGUGGACCCCCGGCUCUGAAAGGCUUUGUAGCUGGAGGGGAUGAACCCACAGCUCCAGCCAGUCGGGACCUGGGGUGGCAUCCCUGGGGAUGCUGGAGAUGGAUGCUGGUCCAGUCUGUGCUGGGGUCACGAGUUGCCGGGCUCACCCAGCCCAAGGAGCUGCAUGGGGCGGGGAAGGUGUACGGAAACCUCGGUGGUCUCUAGGGGGAUCACAGGCGAAUUCAUCAACCUCAAAGCUGCUCCUUGUGAUUAUGGGGCAGAGGGCAGUGCAUCAUGGUUUUGGGAUCACUUUGUGGAAGUUUUUCAGGAAAUCAAGGUCUGCCGGGAGCCAGGAAUCUGGGUGUGUUUAGCCCCGCGCCCUGCCCUUGACAGUCAUGGAAUAGUCCUGAAAUCCACAUGCCCGACCCGCCCUAAGCUCCCUGUUUUGGUUGGGUUUGUUUUGCCCUGUCUCAUCACUAACCCUGUGGUUUUCGAAUGCCUCCUCCCUGCCCCUGUUCCAUGAGGUCCCUCUGUCCCCACAGGGGUCUGCUGCCAGGAGCCAGAAUAAAUAGUGGGAGCUGGAAAAGAGGAGGGUUGAAAGUCAGCGGCUCCCACGAGUCUCUCUGUAGGUCUACACCCCACCCAACCUGCGUUUCAUCUGCACACCACGGCUGGCUCCGGCACUGCCCUGGCCCCAGCUGCUGGGACUCCUCGAGUUUCUUUAGGUUGGCAGCAAAGGGAACCGGAUGCUGCUGCCCUGGAGGACGUCGUGUUCUUACAUCUGCCUCAGACCACAGCCCUGUGACCACAGAGAUGGAGAAAUUGAUUUCUUCCCUUUCCCCCAGCCGUCCCCAAUGUGACUACCUCUGCCCCGCAGACACCCUGGUUGCCUUGGAUGUGAGUUCUGCUUUCCCUUCAUCCGCAGAGGAUAAAUGGCUGAGGUGUCACAGCUCGCAGAUUUCAUAGCCACGGCUCAGAUGCAAUCAAUACCUUCCUAUAACAACCCCACGCAAGAUAUGGGAUCUUCGUUAAGUCAACAAAUAUUUUUCACAACUGACACUCAGAUAGGAGCCUGAUUAGCAAUUGGUUUUCAUUCUUCUUGGUUGUGGUAUUUUAGCUAUUUCCUUCUAUCUUUCUUUCUUCCUUUUCCCCUUCCUUCCUUCCUCCUUUCCUUGCUUCCUUCCUUCCUUUCUUUUAUUUGUUAGCUCUAAUAUCCUUAUUCUUCAAAGUAUUUAGGUAAAGAGAGUUCCAAAAAGCCUUUGGUCAUUUAUUCUAGUGUCUUUCAAUGACCACGGUCAGCAAGUUCUAACUUCAAUCAUGUUGGCAGCUAAAAUAAACAGGGCUGUUUUCUCUCAAAAACGAGAAUGUCUACACUAAAAAGCCUUAGUUAGGUUCCCGUAUGAGUCAUUCUGUGUUAAUGUGGGAAGAUUCGGACGAUUAGCCCGAAGUUUCAGGAAGACGUCGCAUCAAAGGAGGGCUGAUAAAACACAAUCUCAGGAGGUGAAGCCUGACUCUAAGAGGCUGUCAUACACCCAGGGCUCGAGUGAAGCUCAUGAAAUAACAGUAAUUUAUUGAACAAUUACUCUAGGCCAGUCCUGUGCUGAGCAAGUUUAUUUGUUAUAUUAUUUAAUCCUCCCAACCGCCCUCUGAAAGAAAUAUUGUUAUUUCCAUAUUCCAGUCAAUGCCUUCAGAGUCCAUGUUCUCCUCAGGGUCAGAAACUCACAGGCAGAGCCUGGUCCAGGAGGGACUGUCCGGCUCUGAGGCUUGGGCUCUAACUGCCGGGACCCUGGGGGUCUGGGUCUUCUUCCCUUGUUCUUUUUUUUUUUUUUUUAAUUUCUUUAUUUUUAUUUAUUUUUGGCUGCGUUGGGUCUUCCUGGCUGCUUGCGGGCUUUCUCUAGUUGCGGCGAGCGGGGGCUACUCUUCGUUGCGUUGCGCGAGCUUCUCAUUGUGGUGGCUUCCCUUGUUGCAGAGCAUGGGCUCUAGGCACACAGGCUUCAGUAGUUGUGGCACGCAGGCUCAGUAGUUGUGGCUUGCAGGCUCUAGAGUGCAGGCUCAGUAGCUGUGGCUCACGGGCUUAGUUGCUCCACAGCAUGUGGGAUCUUCCCGGACCAGGGCUCGAACCCAUGUCACCUGCGUUGGCAGGCGGAUUCUUAAACACUGCGCCACCAGGGAAGCCCAUUCCCUUGUUCUCAUUCUUGGCAACUAGUGACAAAUUACUUUUCUUCGGUGGCUUCAGUCUCCUUACUUUGCAAUGGCAUUAUUGGCAUUAUUGUCAACCAUUCACUAAAGAACAUCAAUGGACAGUUCCUGGCACUGCUCUAAGGGCUGUGAAUGGGAAUUGCAGCUAUACAGCCCCCAGGGUUGUUAUGGAGAUUAUAUUAUGGGAUGGUGUCUAGAGAUCACUUAGCGCAGAGCUGGCACACAGCUGGUACCUGACAGACAAGGGCUGGCUCAUAACGAUGGCACACCACAAAGCCUUCCCAGAGUGCCCAGGGCCACCAAACUUCUCUUCUUCUGAGCUGACUCUGCUCCCACUGCCACACGGCCACCUGCUGAUAAGGUCUCGCUCUGGCUCAUGUAACCUCCAGUGUCUAGCAAAGUGCUAAUGGCAUAGAAGAGGCUCAGAAACAUCAUUUAGCUGAUGCCCCAAAUGCUCUCUACGCACUGCACCAGGCACGCAAGUAUUUCCAUCCACACCACUGGUGUGAUCGCUCAUUUCAUGUGUCACAUUGGCUGAGCUAAGCGAUGCCCAGUAAACAUGAUUUCCAGGUGUGGCUAUGAGGGUAUUUCUGGAAGAGAUUAGCAUUUGAAUUGGUGGAUUGAGGAAAGACCACCUUUGCCCACGCAGGUGGGCACCAUCCAGUCCAUCAAGCGCCCGAAUAGAACAAAAAGAUGGAGGAAGGGGGGAGUUUGCUCGCUCUGAGCUGAGACCUCCAUCCCUUGGACAUCGACAAUUAUUCCUGGUUCUUGGGCCUUCGAACUUGGACUCAAUCACCCCCCACCCCCAGCUCACUUGGGCCUCCAGCUGGUAGAUGGCAGACGGUGGGGCUUCUCAGCCUCCAUGAUCACACGAGCCAAUUUGUAUCACAAAUCUCCUCUGUAUGUCUAUAUAUCCGAUUGAUUCUGUUCCUCUAGAGAACCCUGAGCAGAGUGGCUGGGUCCAAGGCCCACUCUUACCAAAGCAAAUAGACAGUCAACUCCCUUGGUACAGAAUGAAACAGUUCUCCUUGAAUAACUGUUUUUGUUACAGUCAUUUUUGUCCUGAGAGAUUUCAAGUGCUUUUAAGGGCCCUUGAAGCUUGAGGAGACUUCUGUCGAAUCAGCUGUGAGGGGAGUUUUCUGGUCCCUCCGCUGUCAGUGAGGGAACGCCAGGUUCAGGCCUCUUUGGGAGAGUCGGCAGGUGGAGUCUUCUUUGAACUCAGGCCGGGGCAGAGACCCCUGACCCCGGGUUCCCACAGAGGCCCUGGGGGGAGGGGCAAUGAGAUCAUGUCUGCAGAGGUCCCCAGCCACUUGGAAGGCGAUACCGCUGUAAUUUCUUGGAAAAGCCUUCUCCUUCCCAUGGUUUCUGCUCACACCAGCUCAGUUUUCCUCACCUAACCGCCGCUCACAGCAGCCUCCUGCUCUUGACAGAUUUCCGUCUGCUUGCCCUCCCGGCCCCUCCUCUGGGCUCUCCCCUCAAGGCCAGGUGCCCAUCUGUCCACAGGAGCCUGAGUUUAAAAUCCUGUGGUCUCCACCAGCCAUUUAAUCCUCCGGAUCACUCUAACAAAGGGUGUUUGGGCGUUGGGGCAACAUGGUUCAUUUUGUUGUUUCAUUUUUAUGCAUUCUCUCACUCUGGGUACAGGAGUCUGGGGAAGGAGGAAUCCGGGGAGUAGGUUUUCGUGGUAGGAGAUGCUCACCUGUUGGAAGCACAGUCAUAUACGUUUGGGGGGGUGCUCUGCCAGUCCGCAGCUUGUGUGUGAUGACCCCACCCCCAAUGGGCUCCUUCUCAGUGCCUGGGGUAGAGUUGGGCGGGGAGACCAUGUCCCUCCGUAAACAACUCCACCCAGGACACCUCGGAUCUGGGUUCUGGUUCCGCUUCUUGUGUUGAUUUUCUUGGGGGUGGACGGAAAACCCCUUUCCAUCCUGAGUUCUGACCCUCUUAUCUGAGGGAUGGCUGUCGCCAUCCAGCAUCCACAAUUUUCCGUGAGAGCAUGGGAUGCUUAAGUGGAGACAGAGACGUGAAGGAGUUUACGGGUCAGACGGAUGUGUGAGCCAUGAGUGUGAGGAAGGGUACAGGUGCCACUGGGGAGGGGCGUCCAGGGAGACCCUAGAGCUGACUUCUCCACAUGGGAUGGAGCAGGUGGCAGGUGAGCAGGGCCUUGAAUAGCACUCCAAGGAGAGUGGGCCUUGCCCUGAGGACCAAGUGUUCUUAGCAGGUGUGGGCGGAGCUUGGCAAGACCAGAGCCAGAAGAUUCUGCCAACUCAUCCCUCGGGCUGGGGCAGCAGGGCACCUCUCGGACGCACAUAGUGAGUAGAAGGCCCCGUGGAACGCAGUGACUCCAAGUCCUAAAGGAGCCUUGAGAUCUCUGGACAGACUCAAGCCAGAGGAAAUUUUCUUAAAGCGGCAAGCAUUGUGUGCUUCAGAGCAAGCUCCCUGCCCCACCGCUGGUUAGUCACUUUGCACACAUCACCUCUUCAUCCAAAAGCUGGAGGGUAGGGCUCCUCCAGCUCUGAAAGGAGAUGCUAGGAGCUCUAAAAGCAGGGGAGGCUCUGGCUGACGCUUCCACACUGGAAGGUGGGACAGGGUGGUGAUUACAAGUGUGGGUUCCCAGGUUGUACAUUUCAAACUUCCACUAUGUCAUGUCCACUAUACCAUAAUAAAGUCAGAAAACAAAGAGCAGGGGUUCUGGGCUACAACGCCCAGGCUGGAGUCUCACCUCCACCAGCAAUAGGUGUGUGACCUUGUGCACGUUCCCUAAGUCCUCUGGGCAUCCGCUCUUCUUUAGCCAACUAGGGAUCAUGGUGAUAUCUACCCCACAGAUGUAGUCUGAGGAUGUCAUGGGAUAAUUCGUGUGAACACUUGGACUGCACCUGACACAUUAGAAGACUUCCAUAAAAUGAGCCUUUAUGAGGACUGUUUCUCCAGCAUUUUACUUUGAAACCAUCCCAGGAAGAUUGAAUAAUAAGGAGUCUUUUGGGAUUCUUGGAUGUAGGAACUACGAGGCUCCCCAUGUUCCUAGUGAGGAAACUGAACCUCAGAAGGUUAAAUACCAUGCAGCAUCGCACUGCUGAAAAAGGGGCAAAGCACAGUUGGGAGGCUGUCCUCACCUCUCAUCACCCAGCCUGGGCGGGAGGAGGGACACGCCAGCCUGAGCUUCACAGAGCAUCUAGUUCAGAGGCACAAAAAAUUGGGGGCUGUCUGGCUUCCCUGGUGGCGCAGUGGUUAAGAAUCCGCCUGCCAAUGCAGGGGACACGGGUUCAAUCCGUGAUCCAGGAAGAUCCCACAUGCCGCGGAGCAACUAAGCCCGUGUGCCACAACUACUGAGUCUGCGCUCUAGAGCCCGCGAGCCACAACUACUGAAGCCCGCGCGCCUAGAGCCCGUGCCCUGCAACAAGGGAAGCCACCACAAUGAGAAGCCCGUGCACCGCAACGAAGAGUAGCCUCUGCUCGCCGCAACUAGAGAAAUCUCGAGCGCAGCAAUGAAGACCCCACGCAGACAAAAAAAAAAUGUGGGCUGUCGUGUCCUGGAGGGCGUCUCCCAGACAGGGCUUGGGGUUGGGGGGGAAGUGCAGGAUCAGAGGAGGCGGUGGUGGAGGCAGGACCCCAGCCGGCCCAUCAACCACACAGGCCUGCACUGCUCCACGGGUCGAGGGACGCACCCUCAUCUCCUCUUCCAAGCAGGAAAGACACCUGACCCGAGGCGGCCGAGCUCUCCACGCCAGGUAAUGGGUCCCAGCUGCGGCCGCUGGCCCGCCAGCCCAGGCUCAGGCCCCGGCUCCCUGUGGUUUUGCAGCCUGGCCGAGCUGUAACUCAGAGCCUGGGUCUCUCCAGCCCAACGUCUGGAACCGCCCGCCUGCGGGUCUACAGAGAGCAGAGUAGGUGCUCAGGGCUCACUGAACGUUGAGACGACGCAUGCGCGGCGCGUGGGCGCGUGCAUGAGCGCCUGGCGUUGUCGGCGACGCCCGCCCAGUGGCCCGGCUCCCGCCCUUAGCAGCGCGGUGCUGAGAAGAGGGGCCUGCGGGGCGGGAGGACCUGGCCCCUGGAGCCUCACGGAGUACAGCAGCAACAGCAGCAGCAGGCUGACCCCCCGGAGCCGUCUUCCGAGUGACCGCUCGCGCUUCCCCUGCGCGCCCCACGCCCGGACUCAGAGGCCCCGAGGCCCCACGCAGGGCUGGCUGCUGCCUCCGGGAAGAGGACUGACUGCCAGGCGGGAGGAAAAGCAGACUCAUUUGCUUCGAUUCCAAGGAGAGAAUGAAGGCCAGAAAAGAGAGCUAAAAAAGAAGUAUAACUGGAAACAACCAAAAAGAAGAAAAGCAAGACAGAAACCUUCCCUGUGAGUUCAGAGGCUGCUCUAACGCCCUAUGCUGUCUGUCCCCAGGUCCUGAGGCUCUGGAAGCUCAGGUUGCCCCCAGAAUGGACAAGAUGGCUGAGCUAAAAUGUUCCCUCAACAAAACAUUUAAGUUGGGGGCUUCCCUGGUGGCACAGUGGUUAAGAAUCCGCCUGCCAGUGCAGGAGACACGGGUUGAAGCCCUGGUCCCGGAAGAUCCCACGUGCCGCAGAGCAACUAAGCCCAUGCGCCACAACUACUGAGCCUGUGCUCUAGAUCCCGCGAGCCACAACUACUGAAGCCCACAUGCCACAACUACUGAAGCCCACACGCCUAGAGCCCGUGCUCUGCAACAAGAGAAGCCACCGCAAUGAGAAGCCCGCUCACCACAACUAAAGAAAGCCCACGUGCAGCAACGAAGACCCAAUGCAGCCAAAAAUGCAGAAACUGAGGCCCAAGGACUCAGCUGACAAGUGGGAGAACCAGCUGCAAACCUGGGCUGCCUGACUGCACCAGUCAGCUCUCUGCCAGCUUGCAGCACAGGUGAACACAACGCACCCGCAGUGAGCCGGGCAGGUGUAAACAUGACGUACCUGCAUUGAGCAGCAUUUUGACGCAGUCCAGAUGCUCCCGGGCGCAGGCCACGUGCAGAGGGGUCCCAAAGUGGCAGUCGUGCGCUUCCAGGUUGGCCCCAACGUCAAUAAGAAGCCUCACACACUCAGAACUUCCUUAAAAGAAAUGGAGACGGAGGAAAGGCAUCGUAUCACAUAUAUUUGAAAUAACAGGCUUGGCAGACACGCGGCUGCUGGAGCAGGACGUCUGACCCAACUCCAGUGAACGACACAUGAGGGAGAGGCUGCUGAGAGCGUUCACAGUUUCGACACACCCCUCGCCCCCGAUGUUGCCUAGACGUGAGCUGGGAAGUGCCGUGGCCGUCGGACCACCUGCCUAACGUCGGCUCUGAGGAUGGGAAGCACCAGGUGAGUCACUGGUCACGUGGGGCCUGCAGCCCUGACAGCCAGGCUUCCUGUGGUGUGAGGGUGAUGUUUCUUUACGGUUUAAGCCAGGUGCAGACAAACGCAUGCAAACUCAGAGUGUACACUCCCCAGAUGCAGAAACUACAGGACGUUUUCUCAACACCCGUCAGAGCACCUGGGAUACAGGGCAGUCUUCUAGACACUCUUUUAAAACGUCAUAAAUGACAACAGUGCUGGAUUAUGCUGACACAUCUUUACUGUCAAGCCCCAACUUCGGCAGAUGACCACAUUACACACCUCUUCAUAAUAAGCAGUUUCCUUUUAUUAUAACUACAUUUUAUUAUCACAUCUCCCUAGAAAACCUUCUGAGCAACCACAUGGUUCCCAAGUCUUAUCAGAAGCACUUUCACGAACCAUAUCUGGGGUGAAUGUACUUCCUUGGCAGGUGGAUAACCUCCUGGGUUAUGUGUUGAUGACUGUCCCCUCUUGGAGAUCCCCUCAUUUCUGCCGACCUACAGCCCUACCCCACCCCCGCAGUGGAGCCGCAUGACGCGUGGCUCAGGGUUCUCCAGAGCCAAACGGCCCAGGGCUAAAACUCAGCGCAGCCAUUUAUUAGCUUGUGCGAGAAACAGCUUCCCUGACUGUCAGUUUUGUCACCUGUAAAUUGGGAUAAUAAUAUAGUUCAUUCAUCGGUGGGUUAUGAAAAUUAAAUGAAUGAAAGUAAAAGCACUUAGCGUUGGGCCCAGCACAGAGUAAGUGCUCCAUAAAUGGAGUCUAUUUGUGGUAUUUUAACCCCCUCAUUGUACCUAACUGUGCGACCCCACAGGGGUCAUGGGGGGCCAGGGAAGUGAAGGGAGGACUGGAAUGCAGAGGAAGAUCUGAUCCCCACAAACGUAAAAGCCAGGCUUGGGGAACUUCUUACUUACUGUCCCAGGAGUAAGUAAGUAAGCCAAGCUUGGGGACCCCAGUAUGUCUCCCAGUCGUGAUGAAUGGCCGCCCGUAUGCCUGUCUUGUGGGGUGGGUAGUGGAAAGCAGCUGUGGAUCACUCUCAAGUCAGUCUGGAGGGAGCAGAACCCCAAGGGCAGACUGAGUAAAAAGAGGAGAACAGGGCGAGUCCUGGGUCCUGCAGGAAGGAGGAAAGUGCAGCUCAGGAAGGCGGUGCAGGGAAGGCCUGAGCAUCCCUCAGCAGCCCGUGCAGGUAGAUGCAGCCUCUCCCACCGCGUUGCACAGAGACGGAUGGACAUGGCAAUCAGCAGGUCACGGUCAUGGGCUGGGGAG